This 253-nucleotide ribosomal RNA is filed under the name Acetobacter syzygii. RNAcentral describes it as "partial 16S ribosomal RNA". It matches the Rfam family "Bacterial small subunit ribosomal RNA", at positions 65 to 313 of the family's 1533-position model. Lineage: Bacteria; Pseudomonadati; Pseudomonadota; Alphaproteobacteria; Acetobacterales; Acetobacteraceae. The record is from RNAcentral.
CACUUGAAAGAUUUGACAUUGAGACGAGUGGCGAACUGGUGAGUAACACGUGGGUAACCUGCCCUUGAAGUAUGGGAUAACACUUGGAAACAGGUGCUAAUACCGUAUAACAACCAAAACCACCUGGUUUUGGUUUAAAAGACGGCUUCGGCUGUCACUUUAGGAUGGACCCGCGGCGUAUUAGCUUGUUGGUAAGGUAACGGCCUACCAAGGCAAUGAUACGUAGCCGACCUGAGAGGGUAAUCGGCCACAU